UAGGGAAUCUUCCGCAAUGGACGCAAGUCUGACGGAGCAACGCCGCGUGAGUGAAGAAGGAUUUCGGUUCGUAAAACUCUGUUGUUAGAGAAGAACAGCGCAUAGAGUAACUGUUAUGCGUGUGACGGUAUCUAACCAGAAAGCCACGUCUAACUACGUGCCAGCAGCCGCGGUAAUACGUAGGUGGCAAGCGUUGUCCGGAUUUAUUGGGCGUAAAGCGAGCGCAGGCGGUCAAUUAAGUCUGAUGUGAAAGCCCCCGGCUCAACCGGGGAGGGUCAUUGGAAACUGGUUGACUUGAGUGCAGAAGAGGAGAGUGGAAUUCCAUGUGUAGCGGUGAAAUGCGUAGAUAUAUGGAGGAACACCAGUGGCGAAGGCGACUCUCUGGUCUGUAACUGACGCUGAGGUUCGAAAGCGUGGGUAGCAAACAGG
Molecule: ribosomal RNA, 429 nt
Filed under: Bacteroidota bacterium
Lineage: Bacteria; Pseudomonadati; Bacteroidota
Description: Bacteroidetes bacterium partial 16S ribosomal RNA
Rfam family: Bacterial small subunit ribosomal RNA
Source: RNAcentral